GGCUCCACCAAUAUUUUAUUUACAUGAAGAUAGAGAUAUUUAACAGGCGAUGAAGGACGUGAUAAUCUGCGAUAAGCUUCGGUUAGCUGGUAAAAUGAGCUAUGACCCGGAGAUUUCCGAAUGGGGGAACCCACCUGACACAAGUUGGGUACUCACUCGAUAUGGAGUGUAGAGCGAACGAGGGGAACUGAAACAUCUAAGUACCCUUAGGAAGAGAAAUUCAAUUGAGAUUUCCCGUAGUAGUGGCGAGCGAAGUGGGAAGAGCCUGGUAUGAUUUAGCUGUAAUUAUAGUAGAACAAGUUGGGAAGCUUGACGAUAGAGGGUGAUAGUCCCGUAUACGAAAUAAUGACAGUGGAACUAAGCAUACGAACAAGUAGGACGGGGCACGUGGAACCUUGUCUGAAUAUCCCCCCACCAUCCUCCAAGGCUAAAUACUCCUGAAUGACCGAUAGUGAACUACUACCGUGAGGGAAAGGUGAAAAGAACCCUUAUAAAGGGAGUGAAAUAGAAUCUGAAACCGCUUGCAUACAAGCAGUAGGAGCAUGAUUUAGUCAUGUGACUGCGUACCUUUUGUAUAAUGGGUCAGCGAGUUACUUUUAGUGGCGAGGAUAACUGAAUAAGGGAUCCGUAGCGAAAGCGAGUUUUAAUAGGGCGACUAGUCGCUAGGAGUAGACCCGAAACCGGCGCGAUCUAUCCAUGGCCAGGUUGAAGAUUAGGUAGUACUAAUUGGAGGACCGAACCCAAUACUGUUGCAAAAGUAUGGGAUGAGCUGUGGAUCGGAGUGAAAGGCUAAUCAAGCACGGAGAUAGCUGGUUCUCCCCGAAAACUAUUUAGGUAGUGCCUCGUGUAUAACUCAUUGGGGUAAAGCACUGUUUCGACAAUGGGGGUUUUACGACCUUACUGACUCGAUGCAAACUCAGAAUACGAUGAAGUUCGAUCACGGGAGACACACUGCGGGUGCUAAGGUCCGCAGUGGAAAGGGAAACAGCCCAGACCGCCAGCUAAGGUCCCAAAGUCAUAGCUAAGUGGGAAACGAAGUGGGAAGGCCCAGCCAGCCAGGAGGUUGGCUUAGAAGCAGCCAUCAUUUAAAGAAAGCGUAAUAGCUCACUGGUCGAGUCGGCCUGCGCGGAAGAUGUAACGGGGCUAAGCUAUGCACUGAAGUUGCGGAAUAUAUUUAGUAUAUUGGGUAGGGGAGCGUUCUGUAAGCCGAUGAAGGUGAAUUGAGAAGUUUGCUGGAGGUAUCAGAAGUGCGAAUGCUGACAUGAGUAACGUAAAAUAAGUGAGAUUCUUAUUGGCCGAAACCCCAAGGUUUCCUACGCAAUGUUAAUCAACGUAGGGUAAGCCGGCCCCUAAGGCGUAGCUGAAGAGUGAAGUCGAUGGGAAACAGGUUAAUAUUCCUGUGCCGCUUAUAUGAACGAAGGAGGAACGGAGAAGGUUAGGUAGGCCUGGCGAAUGGUUGUCCAGGUGAAAGUAUGUAGGUAGGAAUGCUAGGCAAAUCCGGUGUUCUGUUGAUCUGAGAUACGAGACGAAGUCAAACUUGUUUGGAAAUUGGAUAACCAUGCAACCCCAGGAAAAGCUUUUUAAGUAUAUUGUAUAAGUGACCGUACUGUAAACCGACACUGGUGGGUAGGUAGAGAAUACUAAGGCUAUGAGAUAACUCUGGUGAAGGAACUAGGCAAAAUGACACCGUAACUUUGGAAGAAGGUGUGCCCUUGAUGGUGAUGAGACUUGCUCUUUGAGCUGUUGGGGGUUGCAGAUACCAGGUGGCUGCGACUGUUUAUCAAAAGCACAGCACUCUGCGAAAUCGUAAGAUGAAGUAUAGGGUGUGACGCCUGCCCGGUGCUGGAAGGUUAAUUGAAGGGGUUAGCGCAAGCGAAGCUCUGGAUCGAAGCCCCAGUAAACGGCGGCCGUAACUAUAAAUGGCCACACUGUCUCCACCAGAGACUCAGUGAAAUUGAAAUCGCUGUGAAGAUGCAGUGUACCCGCGGUUAGACGGACAGACCCCGUGAACCUUUACUAUAGCUUUGCACUGGACUUUGAAUAUUUAUGUGUAGGAUAGGUGGGAGACCAUGAAGCAGCUACGCCAGUAGUUGUGGAGUCGUCCCUUGAAAUACCACCCUUGAAUAUUUGAAGUUUCUAACUCAGGAGAGAUUUCGAGGACAGUGUAUGGUGGGUAGUUUGACUGGGGCGGUCUCCCUCCCUAAAGAGUAACGGAGGAGUACGAAGGUGCAUUCGGUACGGUCGGAAAUCGUGCCAAGAGUAUAAAGGCAAAAGUGCGCAAGACUGCGAGAGUGACGGCUCGAGCAGGUACGAAAGUAGGUCUUAGUGAUCCGGUGGUCCCGAAUGGAAGGGCAUCGCUCAACGGAUAAAAGGUACUCCGGGGAUAACAGGCUGAUUCCUCCCAAGAGUUAUAUCGACGGAGGAGUUUGGCACCUCGAUGUCGGCUCAUCACAUCCUGGGGCUGAAGCAGGUCCCAAGGGUAUGGCUGUUCGCCAUUUAAAGUGGUGCGCGAGCUGGGUUCAGAGCGUCGUGAGAC
RNAcentral lists this ribosomal RNA (2536 nucleotides) under Francisella tularensis subsp. holarctica. RNAcentral describes it as "bacterial LSU rRNA". It matches the Rfam family "Bacterial large subunit ribosomal RNA", at positions 1 to 2627 of the family's 2925-position model. The record is from RNAcentral. Lineage: Bacteria; Pseudomonadati; Pseudomonadota; Gammaproteobacteria; Thiotrichales; Francisellaceae.